This 339-nucleotide ribosomal RNA is filed under the name uncultured bacterium. Its description in RNAcentral is "bacterial SSU rRNA". It matches the Rfam family "Bacterial small subunit ribosomal RNA", at positions 1 to 326 of the family's 1533-position model. The record is from RNAcentral.
UCUAGAUUAUAUGUUUGAUCAUGGCUCAGGAUGAACGCUCGGCGGCGAUGCCUAAUACAUGCAAGUCGAGCGAAUGGAUAGAGCUUGCUCUUAUGAAGUUAGCGGCGGACGGGUGAGUAACACGUGGGUAACCUGCCCAUAAGACUGGGAUAACUCCGGGAAACCGGGGCUAAUACCGGAUAACAUUUUGAACCGCAUGGUUCGAAAUUGAAAGGCGGCUUCGGCUGUCACUUAUGGAUGGACCCGCGUCGCAUUAGCUAGUUGGUGAGGUAACGGCUCACCAAGGCAACGAUGCGUAGCCGACCUGAGAGGGUGAUCGGCCACACUGGGACUGAGACA